AGAGUUUGAUCCUGGCUCAGAAUCAACGCUGGCGGCGUGCCUAACACAUGCAAGUCGAGCGAGAAAAGUGGUAGCAAUACCAUGAGUAAAGCGGCGCACGGGUGAGUAACACGUGACUAACCUACCCUGGAGUGGGGAAUAACUGAGGGAAACCUUAGCUAAUACCGCAUAAUACCCACGGGUCAAAGGAGCAAUUCGCUCUGGGAGGGGGUCGCGGCCGAUUAGUUAGUUGGCGGGGUAACGGCCCACCAAGACGAUGAUCGGUAUCCGGCCUGAGAGGGCGCACGGACACACUGGAACUGAAACACGGUCCAGACUCCUACGGGAGGCAGCAGUGGGGAAUUUUGCGCAAUGGGGGAAACCCUGACGCAGCAACGCCGCGUGGAGGAUGAAGUCCUUCGGGACGUAAACUCCUUUCGAUCGGGACGAUUAUGACGGUACCGGAAGAAGAAGCCCCGGCUAACUUCGUGCCAGCAGCCGCGGUAAUACGAGGGGGGCGAGCGUUGUUCGGAAUUAUUGGGCGUAAAGGGUGCGUAGGCGGUUUGGUAAGUCUUGUGUGAAAUCUCCAGGCUCAACUUGGAGUCUGCACGAGAAACUGCCGGGCUGGAGUGUGGGAGAGGUGAGUGGAAUUUCCGGUGUAGCGGUGAAAUGCGUAGAUAUCGGAAGGAACCCUGUGGCGAAAGCGGCUCACUGGACCAUAACUGACGCUGAUGCACGAAAGCUAGGGGAGCAAACAGGAUUAGAUACCCCAGUAGUCC
Molecule: ribosomal RNA, 758 nt
Filed under: uncultured bacterium
Lineage: Bacteria
Description: bacterial SSU rRNA
Rfam family: Bacterial small subunit ribosomal RNA
Source: RNAcentral